CGAGUGAAGCGGCAACAGCUCAAAUUUGAAAUCUGGCCCCCCAGCGGGGUCCGAGUUGUAAUUUGCAGAGGAUGCUUUUGGCGAGGCGCCUUCCGAGUGCCCUGGAACGGGACGCCGCAGAGGGUGAGAGCCCCGUACGGUCGGACGCCGAGCCUCUGUAAAGCUCCCUCGACGAGUCGAGUAGUUUGGGAAUGCUGCUCUAAACGGGAGGUAAACCCCUUCUAAAGCUAAAUACCGGCCAGAGACCGAUAGCGCACAAGUAGAGUGAUCGAAAGAUGAAAAGCACUUUGAAAAGAGAGUUAAACAGCACGUGAAAUUGUUGAAAGGGAAGCGCUUGUGGCCAGACUUGCGCCCGGCGGCUCAGCCGUCCCUCGUGGGCGGUGCACUCCGCCGGGCUCAGGCCAGCAUCAGCUCGCUGCUGGGGAGAAAGGCGGUGGGAACGUGGCUCUUCGGAGUGUUAUAGCCCGCCGCCAUGCCCUCCAGCGGGCUGAGGUUCGCGCUCCGCAAGGAUGCUGGCGUAAUGGCCAUCAGCGACCCGUCUUGAAACACGGACCAAGGAGUCGUCCUAGCAUGCGAGUGUUCGGGUGCCAAACCCCUACGCGCAAUGAAAGUGAACGGAGGCGAGAGCUUCGGCGCAU
Molecule: ribosomal RNA, 638 nt
Filed under: Corollospora sp.
Lineage: Eukaryota; Fungi; Ascomycota; Sordariomycetes; Microascales; Halosphaeriaceae
Description: eukaryotic LSU rRNA
Rfam family: Eukaryotic large subunit ribosomal RNA
Source: RNAcentral